This 497-nucleotide ribosomal RNA is filed under the name uncultured bacterium. RNAcentral describes it as "partial 16S ribosomal RNA". It matches the Rfam family "Bacterial small subunit ribosomal RNA", at positions 28 to 507 of the family's 1533-position model. The record is from RNAcentral.
GAUGAACGCUGGCGGCGUGCCUAAUACAUGCAAGUCGAGCGAACGGACGAGAAGCUUGCUUCUCUGAUGUUAGCGGCGGACGGGUGAGUAACACGUGGAUAACCUACCUAUAAGACUGGGGUAACUUCGGGAAACCGGUGCUAAUACCGGAUAAUAUUUUGAACCGCAUGGUUCAAAAGUGAAAGACGGUCUUGCUGUCACUUAUAGAUGGAUCCGCGCUGCAUUAGCUAGUUGGUAAGGUAACGGCUUACCAAGGCAACGAUGCAUAGCCGACCUGAGAGGGUGAUCGGCCACACUGGAACUGAGACACGGUCCAGACUCCUACGGGAGGCAGCAGUAGGGAAUCUUCCGCAAUGGGCGAAAGCCUGAUGGAGCAACGCCGCGUGAGUGAUGAAGGCCUUCGGAUCGUAAAACUCUGUUAUUAGGGAAGAACAUAUGUGUAAGUAACUGUGCACAUCUUGACGGUACCUAAUGAGAAAGCAACGGCUAACUACGUG